Molecule: ribosomal RNA, 335 nt
Filed under: uncultured Planctomycetales bacterium
Lineage: Bacteria; Pseudomonadati; Planctomycetota; Planctomycetia; Planctomycetales
Description: bacterial SSU rRNA
Rfam family: Bacterial small subunit ribosomal RNA
Source: RNAcentral
CUAAGGCACCAGAGGAAGCCACGGCUAACUCUGUGCCAGCAGCCGCGGUAAUACAGAGGCGGCAAGCGUUGUUCGGAAUUAUUGGGCGUAAAGAGCACGUAGGCGGCCUUGCAAGUCAGUUGUGAAAGCCUUCCGCUUAACGGAAGAAUGCCAGCUGAUACUACAGGGCUUGAGUACGGGAGGGGAGAGUGGAACUUCUGGUGGAGCGGUGAAAUGCGUAGAUAUCAGAAGGAACGCCGGCGGCGAAAGCGACUCUCUGGCCCGAAACUGACGCUGAGUGUGCGAAAGCUAGGGGAGCAAACGGGAUUAGAUACCCCGGUAGUCCUAGCCGUAAA